GACGGAGGGCGCGAGCGUUGUUCGGAAUUACUGGGCGUAAAGCGCGCGCAGGCGGGCGUGUAAGUCGGGGGUGAAAUUUCAGGGCUCAACCCUGGAACUGCUUUCGAUACUGCACGUCUAGGGACCGGUAGAGGUCGGUGGAAUUCCCGGUGUAGCGGUGGAAUGCGUAGAGAUCGGGAAGAACACCCGUGGCGAAGGCGGCCGACUGGGCCGGAUCCGACGCUGAGGCGCGAAAGCGUGGGGAGCAAACAGG
This 253-nucleotide ribosomal RNA is filed under the name uncultured bacterium. RNAcentral describes it as "partial 16S ribosomal RNA". It matches the Rfam family "Bacterial small subunit ribosomal RNA", at positions 524 to 776 of the family's 1533-position model. The record is from RNAcentral.